AGCAUAUCAAUAAGGGGAGGAAAAGAAACUAACAAGGAUUCCCUUAGUAACUGCGAGUGAAGAGGGAAAAGCUCAAAUUUAAAAUCUGGUAGUGUUUCACUGUCCGAGUUGUAACCUAGAGAAGUGUAACCUGUGCUGGACCGUGUACAAGUCUCCUGGAAUGGAGCAUCACAGAGGGUGAGAAUCCCGUCUUUGACAUGGACUGCCAGUGCAUUGUGGUUGUGCUCUCAACGAGUCGAGUUGUUUGGGAAUGCAGCUCUAAAUGGGUGGUAAAUUCCAUCUAAAGCUAAAUAUUGGCGAGAGACCGAUAGCGAACAAGUACCGUGAGGGAAAGAUGAAAAGAACUUUGGAAAGAGAGUUAAACAGUAUGUGAAAUUGUUGAAAGGGAAACGUUUGAAGUCAGUCACAUUGGCUGGGGAUCAACCCGACAAUUUAGUUGGGUGUACUUCCUGGUUGAUGGGUCAACAUCAGUUUUGACUGCCAGAAAAAGGUCAAGGGAAUGUGGCACCUUUGGGUGUGUUAUAGAUCUUG
This 531-nucleotide ribosomal RNA is filed under the name Amanita congolensis. RNAcentral's name for it is "eukaryotic LSU rRNA". It matches the Rfam family "Eukaryotic large subunit ribosomal RNA", at positions 37 to 565 of the family's 3401-position model. Lineage: Eukaryota; Fungi; Basidiomycota; Agaricomycetes; Agaricales; Amanitaceae. The record is from RNAcentral.